UAUAGGUAGAGGCGCAAUAUUUAUCAGUAUUAACAAUGAGGUAAGCACGAUGAUUUGUUAAGAAAGGAAAUGUUGCCGAAGUGUAUAACUGAUGCUUUAAGGUUAUAUAGCUGGGUGUAUACAGAAUAUGUAUGCAACUGUCACUAGUUUUAGUGUUGAGCUAUC
RNAcentral lists this non-coding RNA (165 nucleotides) under uncultured Terrisporobacter sp. RNAcentral's name for it is "Lysine riboswitch". It matches the Rfam family "Lysine riboswitch aptamer". Rfam says of the family: Riboswitches are metabolite binding domains within certain messenger RNAs that serve as precision sensors for their corresponding targets. Allosteric rearrangement of mRNA structure is mediated by ligand binding, and this results in modulation of gene expression. This family includes riboswitches that sense lysine in a number of genes involved in lysine metabolism, including lysC. The record is from RNAcentral. Lineage: Bacteria; Bacillati; Bacillota; Clostridia; Peptostreptococcales; Peptostreptococcaceae.